GCCCCUAUCGUCUAGUGGCCCAGGACAUCUCUCUUUCAAGGAGGCAGCGGG
RNAcentral lists this transfer RNA (51 nucleotides) under Ginkgo biloba (maidenhair tree). RNAcentral's name for it is "tRNA-Glu". Lineage: Eukaryota; Viridiplantae; Streptophyta; Ginkgoopsida; Ginkgoales; Ginkgoaceae. The record is from RNAcentral.